GACGUAGGGGGCAAGCGUUGUUCGGAAUUAUUGGGCGUAAAGCGCUCGUAGGCGGGACUGGAAGUCCGUGUUGAAAGACCUCGGCUCAACUGAGGGACCGGCUCGGAUACUCUAGUUCUUGAGGCAAUCAGAGGGUGAUGGAAUUCCCGGUGUAGCGGUGAAAUGCGUAGAUAUCAGGAGGAACACCUGUGGUGUAGACAGCUUACUGGACCAUUUCUGACGCUGAGACACGAAAGCGUGGGUAGCAAACAGG
RNAcentral lists this ribosomal RNA (253 nucleotides) under uncultured bacterium. Its description in RNAcentral is "partial 16S ribosomal RNA". It matches the Rfam family "Bacterial small subunit ribosomal RNA", at positions 524 to 776 of the family's 1533-position model. The record is from RNAcentral.